Helianthus annuus (common sunflower) is the source of this 246-nucleotide long non-coding RNA. RefSeq lists it as uncharacterized. The transcript has 3 exons. Lineage: Eukaryota; Viridiplantae; Streptophyta; Magnoliopsida; Asterales; Asteraceae. The record is from RefSeq and is a predicted model, not a curated record.
GGUUUUGUAUGUAUCUUUACAUAGACAUGAAGGUGGAAAAUUUUAUCCUGGUACUGGUGCAGUCCAUGAGUUUGGUUCCAUGGUUGGAGAAGGGUACUAUGUAAACAUUCCAUGGAGUCGGGGUGGAGUCAGAGAUAACGAUUAUAUUUUUGCAUUUGAGCAUAUCGUGCUUCCAAUAGCUCGUGAGUUUGCUCAUGAUUUUACAAUCAUUUCAGCUGGAUUUGAUGCUGCAAGGGGUGAUCCACU